UCAGCCUCCCAAAGUGCUUGGGGUUACAGGCAUGAUCCACUGUGCCUGGCUGAGUCUCUCUUCUAAUCUGGCAUGCCUCCCCAACCCCCCAGCUCAUCAUCUCACCUGCACCUGCUUCCUCUCUGGCCUGCCUGCCUCCCACCUCCUCUGGCCUUGGCUUCAUUGUACACAUCAACUCCAUGGACAGCUUUGAGCCCCUUCAAUGUGCCACGCCCUGUUCCUAUAAAACAAGGACAAAUGAGACACUGCCCUGGUCCUCGGAAAGCAGAGGAGUCCUGUGGUACACAGAAAGGCUUCACCCUCACCAUGCCAUGUGACCCACCCCUCUGUGGAACUCAGUUUCCCUAUUCUGUGAAGAAGUUUGGAACCAAAUGAUCUCCUAAGGUCUUCUCUGCAAACAUAUUCUAAGAUUCUGCUACUGGAAUCUAAGCUCCUUCUGGGCAGAGACUUUUCCUGAUUCAUCUUUGAUUAUAGCAGGUAGUGUGGAACUCUGUACUCUAUAGGAGUUUGCCAAGAGCUUGCUGAAUGAGUAAAUGAAUGAGUGAUAUCAGUGACUUAAUGGCUUCCCUUUGCCAACAAGCUAAGAACCUACCUAGAAGGCAUACAGAGCUCUUUACAGCCUCUGAUUCCAACCCACCUCAGUGUCCUCUGACCUGGAAGCUGCCUCCCAGAGCUGGAAUGGAGCACUUGGGAGCAUUUGAAGAGCUUCAUCCACCGGACAAACCUUCACUGAGAACCUAUUACACACCAGGGCCAGUGUUGCUGCUGGGAACAAUGAUGAACAAAACCUGUUGGUAGGCCAGGUGAGGAGACUGAGUCAUUUCCCCAAGGCCACACACUUAGAGUGACAGAGCUGGUUUGGACUUUCAAGCCCACACUGUGAAACGCCUUGCCAGACUGACAUGGGCACUGCCCCAGCAGAACCAGCACACUGGAGACAGGGGCUGUGGCAUCUCACCUGCCGCACCCUCAGCCAGGCCAAGACUGACAUGGAGGUGACACAGACCCGUAAGGACUGAAAGGCUAUGCCUGAGGGACAGCCAGCCAGCCAUCCAGGGAGGAGG
Long non-coding RNA from Cercocebus atys (sooty mangabey), 1064 nucleotides. RefSeq lists it as uncharacterized. The record is from RefSeq and is a predicted model, not a curated record. Lineage: Eukaryota; Metazoa; Chordata; Mammalia; Primates; Cercopithecidae. The transcript has 3 exons.